GUAUUCUGCACGGACUGCUGGGCAGCACUAGCACUCUGGAGAAGGUCUGCCGCUGUCUGCACUUUCCUGGUUCUAUGCAGGCAGAUGAGUGUCACAGCUGUAACUGAGGCACAGAGCAGUACACACAGUGGAGCCGAUUUCCGCGAUGGCGAGAGGGGGCACCGGAGGUGACAACAAUAACAAGACUGUCCUUCGGACAAGUUUUAGCGCUGAAUAUCUUCAGGAAAAUGGGUUCCAUGAGAAGUGACAUCCUCCUCGAAUCAAAAGACUUGAGGUUAACAUGGGCAUAAUGUUCUGGAUGAAGCUUUGGAAGUACUUGUGAAGGGAAGAAUGACUUGGGCAAUACCAAAUGUUGAGUUAUCAAGUAUUUCGAUACCCAUAUGCAUCAUCUGCUAUUCUCAGGAUGAUGGAGUGAGUGAUGGAAUAGGUUGCCAACUGUAGUUACUCCACUCAGCACAGAAUGGCUGCGGGGAAAUAUAAUCAGACAUGCCCAAAGAAGUCUGCUUAGGGUGAAACAAAUACCUUUGAGGUUUAAAUCAGGAAGGAGAGACUGUUUCUACAGGUGUCAUACAAAAAUCAAUACUGAGCCAAGGAUUAUUGGAUCCCAUAGAACCACGGAGACUUGGUAGUGAAAUUCUUCCAAAGCAUUCCAUCCGUGCAGGCAGAUGGUGUUCCUAGGUUUGGAAAUAUAAAUCCCAUGGGAAGUCAGCUGAAGACCAUUUUAUGCAUCACUCAUCCUGUUAGAGCCCUGUGCUGUUCUGUCUCUCUAUAAGACUGGCUGAAACCACCACGGUUGUUUACAAUUUAUGCUCUAACUUUGGAUCACCUAGUUAAUACUCUAACUCCGAUUAUUACCAAAGACAAUGUUCUAUAAAAGAUAUUGUCUAUUAGAAGGAUGCUUCUGCAUUAUUAAUAAAAUCACAGGGAAAAUGCAACAUUUUGGAUGUCACAUCUGAUAAGUGGGUGACUGAUCGUACCCGCCAGCUGGCUAAUGUCAUAAUUAACAAAGUUGCUACUACAUCUGCAAAGUUUAAUCGAAAAAUUUGCCAGUGAUAUGAUGGCCUUGUCACAGAGAUCACAAGGGACACGGAGUUGACUUUUGCUCAAGGUGGAACGACAGAGCUGUGUAGGCAAGAUGAGAAAUUGCGAACUUGUUCGGCCAAAG
Molecule: long non-coding RNA, 1165 nt
Filed under: Homo sapiens (human)
Lineage: Eukaryota; Metazoa; Chordata; Mammalia; Primates; Hominidae
Source: RNAcentral